CAGUUGUUUAUAUUUUUAUGUUUUCGUAAUUAUGGAAAUGUGCUACAACAACACUGGACAAGCAAAAGGCAUCUAUAGUUUCCAGAAAACUACUUAGUUGUGAAAAUGCAAUGAAAUGUUCUUCUGUAAUAUCAGAAAAAUAGCAGGGGAAAAAUACCAUAUUUGCAGUAUUUGGAUUACUCGACUUUAAUAUUAUCAUAAACAGUAUGAAUUUUUCAUAGCAGACUUUUGCGAAAAAAGAGAUCUGCAUGUUUAAGGAACUGACAAGCAGACCAUGAAAAGAGAAAACUUCGUGCUAUUCAAAACUUCAUAUUCAUAGGACUACUGGAGUGUGCAGUCACAAUUACUAUUCUAGAACUUCGAACCACACGCAUAAAACGCGAGGAGAAAUUUUGAAAACAAAAGACUGAAGAAAAG
This is a long non-coding RNA of Argiope bruennichi, 417 nucleotides long. RefSeq lists it as uncharacterized. The record is from RefSeq and is a predicted model, not a curated record. The transcript has 3 exons. Lineage: Eukaryota; Metazoa; Arthropoda; Arachnida; Araneae; Araneidae.